Molecule: transfer RNA, 79 nt
Filed under: Anguilla anguilla (European eel)
Lineage: Eukaryota; Metazoa; Chordata; Actinopteri; Anguilliformes; Anguillidae
Description: tRNA-OTHER
Source: RNAcentral
GGCAGUGUAGCAUAAUGGCUAAGGUGUUGGUCUCGUAACCGAAAGGUCGCAGGUUCGACUCCCCGGUAGGGCACUGCCG